AGGGCACCACCAGGAGUGGAGCCUGCGGCUUAAUUUGACUCAACACGGGAAAACUCACCCGGCCCGGACACUGGAAGGAUUGACAGAUUGAGAGCUCUUUCUUGAUUCAGUGGGUGGUGGUGCAUGGCCGUUCUUAGUUGGUGGAGUGAUUUGUCUGGUUAAUUCCGAUAACGAACGAGACUCUAGCCUACUAAAUAGAUCGUCGGCUUACAAACGCCGGCGAGACUUCUUAGAGGGACAGGCGGUGAUUCAACCGCACGAAACAGAGCAAUAACAGGUCUGUGAUGCCCUUAGAUGUCCGGGGCCGCACGCGCGCUACACUGAAGUGAUCAGCGUGCUUUUUCAACCUACUCUGUCAAGAGUGGGGAACCCAAUGAACCUUCUUCGUGAUUGGGAUAGGGGAUUGUAAUUGUUCCCCUUGAACGAGGAAUUCCCAGUAAGCGCGAGUCAUAAGCUCGCGUUGAUUACGUCCCUGCCCUUCGUACACACCGCCCGUCGCUACUACCGAUUGAAUGUUUU
RNAcentral lists this ribosomal RNA (519 nucleotides) under uncultured eukaryote. RNAcentral's name for it is "SSU rRNA". It matches the Rfam family "Eukaryotic small subunit ribosomal RNA", at positions 1161 to 1699 of the family's 1831-position model. The record is from RNAcentral.